Molecule: transfer RNA, 75 nt
Filed under: Fidelibacterota bacterium
Lineage: Bacteria; Pseudomonadati; Fidelibacterota
Description: tRNA-Asp
Rfam family: tRNA
About the family: Transfer RNA (tRNA) molecules are approximately 80 nucleotides in length. Their secondary structure includes four short double-helical elements and three loops (D, anti-codon, and T loops).
Source: RNAcentral
GGGGUGGUGGCUCAAUUUGGUUAGAGCACCGGCCUGUCACGCCGGAUGUUGCGAGUUCGAGUCUCGUCCAUCCCG